UAAAAAGCUAUGAUCGGAAUAAGUAAGAAUCGAAAUCUGACGACAGAGAAUUGCUGGUUGGUGAGAAGCGUAAGUUAAGAGCGAUGAUGAAUACCUCCGUGAGCUGCUGAGAUGAAUUCUUUUUACUACAAGAUAUUAGUUUCAGACGGGGACUGACCGUUAUAUCAGUAGAGUAUCAUUCAUUUUUUGAAUCGUACUUGAUGAGGCGCUUUGCGUGAGCAUAGUGUGAAUGAAGGUGGUAACACGGAUUAUUUCGUCCUUCGC
RNAcentral lists this non-coding RNA (264 nucleotides) under Butyrivibrio proteoclasticus. RNAcentral's name for it is "T-box sequence". It matches the Rfam family "T-box leader". Rfam says of the family: Uncharged tRNA acts as the effector for transcription antitermination of genes in the T-box leader family. T-boxes are found upstream of many aminoacyl-tRNA synthetase genes and some amino acid biosynthetic genes usually in Gram-positive bacteria. Lineage: Bacteria; Bacillati; Bacillota; Clostridia; Lachnospirales; Lachnospiraceae. The record is from RNAcentral.